RNAcentral lists this microRNA precursor (82 nucleotides) under Vicugna pacos (alpaca). RNAcentral describes it as "miRNA (ENSVPAG00000018104.1)". The record is from RNAcentral. Lineage: Eukaryota; Metazoa; Chordata; Mammalia; Artiodactyla; Camelidae.
GGGCUCCUCACCCACCCACACUCUUUGGUCGCCAGGUGUUGGUCCUUUUGUCUGUCUGCGUCUGGGGAGGGGGCUAGGGGCU